Molecule: ribosomal RNA, 53 nt
Filed under: Hime japonica
Lineage: Eukaryota; Metazoa; Chordata; Actinopteri; Aulopiformes; Aulopidae
Source: RNAcentral
UAGUACUGAGAAUGGGAGACCGCCUGGGAAUACCAGGUGCUGUAAGCGUUUUC